This 465-nucleotide ribosomal RNA is filed under the name uncultured bacterium. RNAcentral describes it as "bacterial SSU rRNA". It matches the Rfam family "Bacterial small subunit ribosomal RNA", at positions 10 to 522 of the family's 1533-position model. The record is from RNAcentral.
ACUUUGAUUCUGGCUCGGAACGAACGCUGGCGGCAGGCCUAACACAUGCAAGUCGAGCGCUCACUUCGGUGGGAGCGGCGGACGGGUUAGUAACGCGUGGGAACGUGCCCAGAUCUAAGGAAUAGCCACUGGAAACGGUGAGUAAUACCUUAUACGCCCUUCGGGGAAAGAUUUAUCGGAUUUGGAUCGGCCCGCGUUAGAUUAGAUAGUUGGUGGGGUAAUGGCCUACCAAGUCUACGAUCUAUAGCUGGUUUUAGAGGAUGAUCGGCAACACUGGGACUGAGACACGGCCCAGACUCCUACGGGAGGCAGCAGUGGGGAAUCUUGGACAAUGGGGGCAACCCUGAUCCAGCCAUGCCGCGUGAGUGAUGAAGGCCUUAGGGUCGUAAAGCUCUUUCGCCAGGGAUGAUAAUGACAGUACCUGGUAAAGAAACCCCGGCUAACUCCGUGCCAGCAGCCGCGGUA